Molecule: ribosomal RNA, 393 nt
Filed under: uncultured bacterium
Lineage: Bacteria
Description: partial 16S ribosomal RNA
Rfam family: Bacterial small subunit ribosomal RNA
Source: RNAcentral
AUACGGAGGAUACGAGCGUUAUCCGGAUUUAUUGGGUUUAAAGGGUGCGUAGGCGGCCUUGUAAGUCAGCGGUGAAAUUUUGCAGCUUAACUGUAAAAGUGCCGUUGAUACUGUGAGGCUAGGAUUUGGUUGCUGUGGGUGGAAUGUGUGGUGUAGCGGUGAAAUGCUUAGAGAUCACACAGAAUAUCGAUUGCGAAGGCAGCUCACAAAGCCAAGAUUGACGCUGAGGCACGAAAGUGUGGGGAUCAAACAGGAUUAGAUACCCUGGUAGUCCACACUGUAAACGAUGAUAACUCGCUGUCGGCGAUAUACAGUCGGUGGCCAAGCGAAAGCGAUAAGUCAUCCACCUGGGGAGUACGACCGCAAGGUUGAAACUCAAAUGAAUUGGCGGGG